UGGCUCAGACGGUAAAGCGUCUGCCUACAACGCGGGAGACCCGGGUUCGAUUCCUGG
This 57-nucleotide transfer RNA is filed under the name Ovis aries (sheep). It matches the Rfam family "tRNA", at positions 8 to 63 of the family's 71-position model. Rfam says of the family: Transfer RNA (tRNA) molecules are approximately 80 nucleotides in length. Lineage: Eukaryota; Metazoa; Chordata; Mammalia; Artiodactyla; Bovidae. The record is from Rfam by way of RNAcentral.